Molecule: ribosomal RNA, 497 nt
Filed under: uncultured bacterium
Lineage: Bacteria
Description: partial 16S ribosomal RNA
Rfam family: Bacterial small subunit ribosomal RNA
Source: RNAcentral
GACGAACGCUGGCGGCGUGCCUAAUACAUGCAAGUAGAACGCUGAAGCGAGGAGCUUACUCUUCUUGGAUGAGUUGCGAACGGGUGAGUAACGCGUAGGUAACCUGCCUUGUAGCGGGGGAUAACUAUUGGAAACGAUAGCUAAUACCGCAUAACAAUGGAUGACACAUGUCAUUUAUUUGAAAGGGGCAAUUGCUCCACUACAAGAUGGACCUGCGUUGUAUUAGCUAGUAGGUGAGGUAAUGGCUCACCUAGGCGACGAUACAUAGCCGACCUGAGAGGGUGAUCGGCCACACUGGGACUGAGACACGGCCCAGACUCCUACGGGAGGCAGCAGUAGGGAAUCUUCGGCAAUGGGGGCAACCCUGACCGAGCAACGCCGCGUGAGGGAAGAAGGGUUUCGGAUCGUAAAGCUCUGUUGUAAGUCAAGAACGGGUGUGAGAGUGGAAAGUUCACACUGUGACGGUAGCUUACCAGAAAGGGACGGCUAACUACGUG